UCUUACUCAAUCAACUUUAAAACAUAGAAACAGAGAUAGAAAGGAGAAGGGAUCGACUUGAGCAAUAUUUGUUUAAUUAGUUCGAUUUGCAAAAUAGUUACAAGUUGAAUUCAAGCUGUAACAGCAAAAGGGAACUCCACCGCGAACCUCAAACAAUGACGAACUCAGAGCGACAAACGACGACCUAAAGUCUUGUUCUGUUUCUCUGAUUAUAUCAAUGGAUCGAUCAUCCAAGACGAACUCGAGCUCAAUCGAAAUGUGUAUGUUCGGGUGUUGUUUUGGACUAAUUUUUGGAAGAAGGGGUGAAGGAGUUAUGUUUUCCUAGGAGUCACGGCUGUGUAUGGUCGUGGUCAGGGGUGGUUGGCGAGUUUGAGUGUAGAGGGAGCGACUAGUGAUGGGGUCUGGGCUCGUUUGGUCGUCGAUGUGAUGAGAGGUGGUAUUGAAGGGUGGUCUGGAUCAUCAGUUCUUGAAAAGAGCAGGCACCGAUGGAGGAACAGUCGUUUAGAAGUGGGAUGGUUAGAAGAAGAUGAUCUUCAUGGGGGGCCGCUUUUGGGCGCAGCUCUCCUCCUCAGCCUGUCCAGUCACUC
RNAcentral lists this long non-coding RNA (587 nucleotides) under Nicotiana benthamiana. RNAcentral's name for it is "long non-coding RNA (NBEN_LNC013411)". Lineage: Eukaryota; Viridiplantae; Streptophyta; Magnoliopsida; Solanales; Solanaceae. The record is from RNAcentral.